UAGGGAAUCUUCGGCAAUGGACGAAAGUCUGACCGAGCAACGCCGCGUGAGUGAAAAAGGUUUUCGGAUCGUAAAACUCUGUUGUUAGAGAAGAACAAGGACGUUAGUAACUGAACGUCCCCUGACGGUAUCUAACCAGAAAGCCACGGCUAUCUACGUGCCAGCAGCCGCGGUAAUACGUAGGUGGCAAGCGUUGUCCGGAUUUAUUGGGCGUAAAGCGAGCGCAGGCGGUUUCUUAAGUCUGAUGUGAAAGCCCCCGGCUCAACCGGGGAGGGUCAUUGGAAACUGUGAGACUUGAGUGCAGAAGAGGAGAGUGGAAUUCCAUGUGUAGCGGUGAAAUGCGUAGAUAUACGGAGGAACACCAGUGGCGAAGGCGGCUCUCUGGUCUGUAACUGACGCUGAGGCUCGAAAGCGUGGGGAGCAAACAGG
Molecule: ribosomal RNA, 429 nt
Filed under: Gemmatimonadota bacterium
Lineage: Bacteria; Pseudomonadati; Gemmatimonadota
Description: Gemmatimonadetes bacterium partial 16S ribosomal RNA
Rfam family: Bacterial small subunit ribosomal RNA
Source: RNAcentral